This 253-nucleotide ribosomal RNA is filed under the name uncultured bacterium. RNAcentral describes it as "partial 16S ribosomal RNA". It matches the Rfam family "Bacterial small subunit ribosomal RNA", at positions 524 to 776 of the family's 1533-position model. The record is from RNAcentral.
UACGUAGGGUGCAAGCGUUGUCCGGAAUUAUUGGGCGUAAAGAGCUCGUAGGCGGCUUGUCACGUCGACUGUGAAAACCUGGGGCUUAACUCCGGGCCUGCAGUCGAUACGGGCAAGCUAGAGUUCGGUAGGGGAGACUGGAAUUCCUGGUGUAGCGGUGAAAUGCGCAGAUAUCAGGAGGAACACCGAUGGCGAAGGCAGUGGUCUGGGCCGAUACUGACGCUGAGGAGCGAAAGCGUGGGGAGCGAACAGG